Molecule: ribosomal RNA, 756 nt
Filed under: uncultured bacterium
Lineage: Bacteria
Description: bacterial SSU rRNA
Rfam family: Bacterial small subunit ribosomal RNA
Source: RNAcentral
GAGUUUGAUCCUGGCUCAGAUUGAACGCUGGCGGCAGGCCUAACACAUGCAAGUCGAGCGGUAACAUGCCUUCGGGUGAUGACGAGCGGCGGACGGGUGAGUAAUGCUUGGGGAUCUGCCCGAUGGCGGGGGACAACCACUGGAAACGGUGGCUAAUACCGCAUAAUGUCUACGGACCAAAGUGUGGGACCUUCGGGCCACACGCCAUCGGAUGAACCCAAGUGAGAUUAGCUAGUUGGUGGGGUAAAGGCUCACCAAGGCGACGAUCUCUAGCUGGUUUGAGAGGAUGAUCAGCCACACUGGGACUGAGACACGGCCCAGACUCCUACGGGAGGCAGCAGUGGGGAAUAUUGGACAAUGGGGGCAACCCUGAUCCAGCCAUGCCGCGUGUGUGAAGAAGGCCUUCGGGUUGUAAAGCACUUUCAGCGAGGAGGAAGGAGGUGUAGUUAAUAGCUGCACCUUUUGACGUUACUCGCAGAAGAAGCACCGGCUAACUCUGUGCCAGCAGCCGCGGUAAUACAGAGGGUGCAAGCGUUAAUCGGARUUACUGGGCGUAAAGCGCACGCAGGCGGUUUGUUAAGUCAGAUGUGAAAUCCCCGGGCUCAACCUGGGARUUGCAUUUGAAACUGGCAAGCUAGAGUACGAGAGAGGGGGGUAGAAUUCCACGUGUAGCGGUGAAAUGCGUAGAGAUGUGGAGGAAUACCGGUGGCGAAGGCGGCCCCCUGGCUCGAUACUGACGCUCAGGUGCGAAAGCGU